RNAcentral lists this ribosomal RNA (415 nucleotides) under uncultured Isochrysis. RNAcentral's name for it is "partial Bacterial large subunit ribosomal RNA". It matches the Rfam family "Bacterial large subunit ribosomal RNA", at positions 769 to 1179 of the family's 2925-position model. The record is from RNAcentral. Lineage: Eukaryota; Haptophyta; Isochrysidales.
AAAGGCUUAAUUGGUGUUUGUUGCAAAAAACUCAAGUGAAACUUGUUUAGUGACGAAAGAUCAAUCAAAUCACGAGAUAGCUUGUUUUCUGCGAAAUUCUUUUUAGAGAAGCGUUUAAAACAAAAGCGUUUUGUAAAGCUACUUUUCUACUUUUGGUGGAUUAAAACUCUUUACAAAAGUAAAAAAAACUCAGAAUAUAUUGCUUGUUCUUAUAACAGUUGGAUUAUUUGCGAAAAAGUUAAUAAUCGAAAGAGAAACAACUCGUAAAUGUCUUUUAUUGCUCUUGAGGAUACUUUAUUCUAAAGAUACUUUUCAUCGAAAAUAUUUUUCCUGUUGGCUUAGAAGUAGCUCUCUUUUUUUGAAAGUGUAAUAACUCAGUAUAUUAUUAGAUCUAAAGAUCUUAAAAUUUAGUUGA